CCUACGGGAGGCAGCAGUGAGGAAUAUUGGUCAAUGGACGAGAGUCUGAACCAGCCAAGUAGCGUGAAGGAUGACUGCCCUAUGGGUUGUAAACUUCUUUUAUAUGGGAAUAAAAUGUUCCACGUGUGAGAUUUUGUAUGUACCAUAUGAAUAAGGAUCGGCUAAAUCCGUGCCAGCAGCCGCGGUAAUACGGAGGAUCCGAGCUUUAUCCGGAUUUAUUGGGUUUAAAGGGAGCGUAGGUGGAUUGUUAAGUCAGUUGUGAAAGUUUGCGGCUCAACCGUAAAAUUGCAGUUGAAACUGGCAGUCUUGAGUACAGUAGAGGUGGGCGGAAUUCGUGGUGUAGCGGUGAAAUGCUUAGAUAUCACGAAGAACUCCGAUUGCGAAGGCAGUUCACUGGACUGCAACUGACACUGAGGCUCGAAAGUGUGGGUAUCAAACAGGAUUAGAUACCCUGGUAGUC
RNAcentral lists this ribosomal RNA (460 nucleotides) under uncultured bacterium. Its description in RNAcentral is "partial 16S ribosomal RNA". It matches the Rfam family "Bacterial small subunit ribosomal RNA", at positions 338 to 795 of the family's 1533-position model. The record is from RNAcentral.